GGAUAUGGGGGCAAUCUGGCUGCGACAACUGUCACCUCAUUGAUUGCCAGAGUUGAUUCGACUGAUCUGGCUGGCUAAUCUCCUUUCUCCCUCACCACUCCAUGUGUGUCCCUCCCCAAAGCUGCUGGAUCAGUCGAAGAGGACCACCACUCCUAAUAGAGAAGGACCCUCGGGCAAGGGUAUACUAGUAGCUGCACUCCCCUGCUUGAGCCUCCAAACAAGCUCUCAGAAAGAAAGCCCAUGUUGUCAAGAGUCUUACCUAUGUUAUCUUUCAGCAGAUUAAGUGUUUCUGUUUUAA
RNAcentral lists this small nuclear RNA (298 nucleotides) under Heterocephalus glaber (naked mole-rat). RNAcentral's name for it is "7SK RNA". It matches the Rfam family "7SK RNA". Rfam says of the family: 7SK was discovered as an abundant small nuclear RNA in the mid-70s but a possible function has only recently been suggested. Lineage: Eukaryota; Metazoa; Chordata; Mammalia; Rodentia; Bathyergidae. The record is from Rfam by way of RNAcentral.